RNAcentral lists this ribosomal RNA (448 nucleotides) under uncultured bacterium. RNAcentral describes it as "bacterial SSU rRNA". It matches the Rfam family "Bacterial small subunit ribosomal RNA", at positions 329 to 794 of the family's 1533-position model. The record is from RNAcentral.
AUCCAGACUCCUACGGGAGGCAGCAGUGGGGAAUAUUGCACAAUGGGGGAAACCCUGAUGCAGCGACGCCGCGUGAGUGAAGAAGUAUUUCGGUAUGUAAAGCUCUAUCAGCAGGGAAGAAAAUGACGGUACCUGAUUAAGAAGCCCCGGCUAACUACGUGCCAGCAGCCGCGGUAAUACGUAGGGGGCAAGCGUUAUCCGGAUUUACUGGGUGUAAAGGGAGCGUAGACGGUGAUGCAAGUCAGAAGUGAAAGUCCGGGGCUCAACUCCGGGACUGCUUUUGAAACUGUGUGGCUGGAGUGCAGGAGAGGUAAGCGGAAUUCCUGGUGUAGCGGUGAAAUGCGUAGAUAUCAGGAGGAACACCAGUGGCGAAGGCGGCUUACUGGACUGUAACUGACGUUGAGGCUCGAAAGCGUGGGGAGCAAACAGGAUUAGAUACCCGAGUACU